UAUUGUUAUUAUUAUUAUUCACAUUAGAACUAGAAUGAUGUGGUUCUGACUUCGAUGGUUCUGGUUGUGGUUUAACACGUAGACUGGAUGAGCUGCCCCAGCCAUUUUGUAAAAGAAGUGGACGUAGAGACAUGGAUGGUGAAGGACCACGGCACUCAUCAUGUCUGUGGUCAUCCACUAAUGAGUCAUCAUCAAUGAAUGCCAUCAUGUCAUUUUCUGGGGUGCUGCAACAGGAAUCACGAAUAACAACAUCCCCAUUAAGGUACAAAGUAAGCGACAUCUAAGACAUCUUUGCCGCCAUUUUCCAGAUGGACGUUACGAUUUAAAUUGCUGAUUACGAUGCCGACAAAACACCUGAAAGAAAACUCGUUCAAACAGCUAACAGAUUCGGCUAUACCUCGGUGUUAAGUAGUCCAAAUGAGCACUGUUAACGUGCACCAACAUUUCCGUGGGCGAGAUUUCGCCGAGGUCGCAAAAGGGGCAGUUUGCGGCUCCUUGAAGAUGAUAAAACACCAUGUGUGACCUCAUCUCCUCGUCGUUGAAGCCCUCGAGGCCGCAGAUCUCGCACGUGUAAUUCAUUUCAGGUGGUUUGCUGGCCGCCAUUUUUCUCGCGUGCAAUCAACACUCGGCCUAUCUAUAAUGAGAACGGAAAUGCACAUUAUUAGAUUUGCACAUGCACCGGAACGCGAUAAUCCAAUCAAGACGAGACCGUGCCUCGCGGGGGAUGAGAGCCUCCCCAACACCGGAGGAUCAAUUAGAAAUCUUUCGAAUCUACAUGGUCAACGGCAUCACAGUCCGCAAGAGGAGAACGAUGCUUGAUCACUCGCGUGCAGUUUGCACCCUUCGGAGGAGCGCAGACGGGGAGGCCAGCUGACCAAAACGAGGCGACUCGCACGGGUGCAUUGGGAACGCACCGCCGUGUAUUUUGCCCGAAGAAUCGAUAAUUGAAUUCAGGGUCGCGUGCAGGCGUCCGCGAUUGCCACCCUUAAGCGGUUCUCGCGUGCGAUUCACGAGAACGUAUCAACAGAGCAGCAAGAGGAACGCGACACGGAUCGUUUCCGGAUGCAUCGUACCAAGAGCGACAUCAGCAAUGUUACGAGCCAAAGCGACGCGACCCUCUCACCUCCUCAGACUGGCCGUGCUGCGAUCGCGAGACAAUCAAUGCGACCCCGACGACGCGGAUCUCAUUAUUAUUUUUCCUCCGUCGGGGAGCUUCGAUCGGAGGGACCGCGACGACGAUGGCGACGUCGACGACGAGCACGGCACCACCGAAACCAGGGGCGGCAGCAGCGUUAUGCAGCCGCGUGUGCACUCUCGUUCGCGUCCCCGUCGACGAGGAGGUCGCGUGCCUUCUCACUUCGUAGCCCUCGGGGAAACUAGGCCAUGGAACGGACUCUCGCAAGAGGAACCGAGUGCACACACGUCGAGUUGCUGGGUUGGGUUGACCCAUUUAGAAAAGCCGUGCACUCUCUCGAUGCUCGCGUUUUCUCUCUCGAGCCGUCUCUCGCCGAAGCAUAGACACGGUCGGCGGACCCUGCCACUCACCGGAUUAUGUAUCAAAUUCUCUCCGGCUCUUCGUAAAGGCCACCUUCCGGGGCCAGAGGUCUCGUGUUUUCGGCGACACUGUGUUCCCUAGCCAGAAGACACGGCAAGGCGUCCGUGCAGGCCCGGCUGCCUAACACGGCGCCUCGUUUGCCUCCAUAUGGACAGCGCCAAUCCACCCCAACACUUUCGUGGAAAGAGUUUCCCGUUCCGCCACCCCACUGUGUCGACCCGCCACCACUCGUCUACACGGCUGUUAGGAGGGUUGCGCGAACACGGCGGACCUUGCCGAAGGCGCUACCGUCGCCCCACGAUCUUUCGAACCGUCUGAGCUGGACAAAACCCAAAUUCUUUCCUAAAUCCCACAAAAUCCAACAAUCGUCGUACAUUUCUUUUUACGCAACUUCUCGUAUCAAGCUACAAUGCUAUCUUGUAGUUUAUUGAUUUUUUUUACCACUUCAUAGUCCCUUUAACGCUGGAACUACCGGACGUGAUGAAGCGACUGAUUUCUGAUUAUUUCUUUUACAGUCGUUGAUAUUUUCGAAAUGUUUCUACGUGACAUCUUUUUACUAACUUCUUUGGUCAAACUAUAAGUCAUACGAAGAGCGUGUAAAUCCAAUUUUAUCAAAUGCGGUGGUCACGUUUCCGGCUCAGUAGUUCUUCUGUUAAUGGUAUUCUUUAUAUGUAGACUGCGGAUUUUAUGCAUUUUUAUCAGACAAUUGAAUAAAUAAAUUACAGAUAGAGAUUGCUAUUUAUAAUAAUGCAAGAUACAAACAUAUUCAUUUUUACAUUACAUUGUUGCAUUCUAUUUCUUGUAGAUAGUAACAGACUAUUUUUAUUUUAUGCAAAAAUUUGCGGUCUAAAUAUAAUAAAUUCAUUCUUUUAUAGCAACUGGUAGAUCUAAUCUGAAGUAUUGCUAUUCAUCUCGCGGGGCAUACUUUUCUGAUCAAUUAGCAUGUACCAUUCAAAACAUUGUGCAUCGUUUGCAACCCUCUGCGCCCGGCCUGGAGCUUGCAGCUUUUUGUCCGCCGGUUUUCCGUUUGACUUCACCUGCGACCCUUCAUCACGAACGAUUGGCGCCAGAAGGGUGACGGUGGCUUAUAACGCGAAUCUUUUACGGGACUCUUGACCCCAAACAGUUUCAUGAAACUCUACCCUUUCUGUUCCCCGAAGAAAAAUCCGGCGCGAACUUGAUUAGAUCUGUAGACGGGAGUCUCUCGGCGUGCUAGGCGAAGCGAAUUUUCAACGGAGAACAAAUGCCGCAUAUAUCAGCCUGGGAUGACAAUGCGCUCAAUGGAGGCACCUUUAGAGCGCAGGCUCGUGAUAUUUGAAUCUUAUUUAUGAGUGUCGGCGCGAGUUUCCGGGUUACCGAGGCCGCCUUUUCUGGCGUUUACGCGUUGCUAACAGGCCGACCAUAUAAACACCGUCCGUGAGGGGUAGCCAGGCACCGUGGCGGCCGGCUAAAACGCGAUUGAAGCUAUCGGGAAUCUCGAACGGCGUUGGCCGAAGCCUGUGAUUAAGGAAAUUCGCUUUAAUCGCCGUGGAACGCGCGAGGACCGUCAUCAUUUUCACAGAGUAUCGCCGAUCGUCUUUGUCACGCGCUGACCUUUCCAAGCGGAACGUUUUCUCUCGUCGCGCACCGCUUUCGAACGAUAGCUAAGUACUCAAACAAACAAAAACAAAAGUUAACAAUCGGUUCUGGACCAGCGUGCGCCGCCGCGCAGUGACUUCGUGGAAAAUCCUUCUCUAACGUCUAAUUUUUCAAGGCGCGUUUAUCGCCGCCUCGUUGCGUCCCAAUUUCGCUCAUUGCGUUCCCAUUGUCCUCGUACAAAAGCAGUUUUCCAUAAUGACAAGUCGGCGAGCACGAGCAGCAUCGACUGCAUUAUCCAAAUUGCAGAACGUGGAGAGCAUCGAUGCGGGCUAAUCUGUUCUCGUUGCGGUGACCGUAUGUGUGAGUCACUCCUCAUCGAUUGGCCCGAUGUGCCCUGCUUCCGGCAGAGCGAAUCGCGAGGAUUUUCUUCGUUACAGCAGAACGCUUUAGCAAAAAUUAAACCGCUCCGGCAAGCGGCAUUAGAGGAAAUUCUCGUUCCUGUGGAGACUACUUUGAUUUUUUUGUUCAGAGUAUCCUGAGCAGGUGUCGAUCUUUGAUCUCGGGCGAUAAAAUCUUACAACGUCCUGUCUGUUGCUCGGCUCAAGCACUGGUCGCGCGUGCAAAACCACGUUGAAACGAUACAGAACAAGAUUCUUUAGUCUCGGUGUGAUCGUUUUAAUGCAGAAGCCUCGAGAAAGUAACUUCUCUACUCGAAGUUAGUUUUCUAUUCGAGCACAGAUUUACAAUGGAGAAAAAUGAUCGAAACAAAAGCUAAAUUCACGGGUGUGAAAACAGAGACUCCGCUCUUUAAAAUGAGCACAAACAGAAUGUCGUGAGAAACUCGUACAUAAAGUCGCAGGAGUUCAAAGAUCGACAAGUCGGUUGACGAUUUCACCGGUGAUUUUUGUUAUAGCGUUCCCCUCGGUGCCGUAAGUCCCAGAAAAAUUGGAAACUACGGUGUGCAUAGUCUUAGCGAGCAGGGUGGAAUGUAACGGGGAAGGCGGAGGCGGACAUUGCGAAUGCAGAUCGCGGUUGACAAAGGACAUUCCGCUGGCACGAUGCAGUCGCGCGACAAAUUUACGCGAGAAACUCGAUUUCCCGCGCUGCAUGCGCUAUGGAGGCUGUCUACGAGCCUGGCUCUCGAUUUUUGCCGCUGUUCGACGCCGGUUCAUUGACAUGCAGCCGACGAUUGACGGAGGAUGCGACGUCCACAGAACUAUUUGGUCUUUCCCCUUGCUCGCGCUGGCUCUCCUCCUCCGUCCCCUUCGCUCGGAGGGUGCGUGAGGCAAAUACGUGAACCGUACAUGCAUAGAAAGUAAAUCGCCAUCGAAUUUAUAUUAACGACGUCCACUCGUUGCUCUAACACAAUAGAAAUCCUCCAAACUUCGAAUGGAAUCGCCGAUACCGAUCCGCUCGAUCUGGAAAACACAGAGACAUUAUUAUCCUGUCGCUACAAUAUCGUACAUCGAUUCAUAACUCUUGGCACAAUCGUUCUUUCUGCAUGCAAUAAAGUGCCUCGCACUCUCCAAUGUUUGGUAAACGCAA
Megalopta genalis is the source of this 4678-nucleotide non-coding RNA. The record is from RefSeq and is a predicted model, not a curated record. NCBI's taxonomy places the organism in Eukaryota, Metazoa, Arthropoda, Insecta, Hymenoptera, Halictidae.